GCAACAGACUUGGCCGAAUGGUUACACUGUCCGCUUUGUAAGCGGAAUAUCAUGGAUUCGAUUCCCAUCUGCUCCA
This 76-nucleotide transfer RNA is filed under the name Culex quinquefasciatus (southern house mosquito). Its description in RNAcentral is "tRNA-Thr". Lineage: Eukaryota; Metazoa; Arthropoda; Insecta; Diptera; Culicidae. The record is from RNAcentral.